Molecule: non-coding RNA, 26 nt
Filed under: Rattus norvegicus (Norway rat)
Lineage: Eukaryota; Metazoa; Chordata; Mammalia; Rodentia; Muridae
Source: RNAcentral
GAGGUGAGAUUCGAGCCCAGAGCCAU